GUCCACGCCGUAAACGGUGGGUACUAGGUGUGGGUUUCCUUCCUUGGGAUCCGUGCCGUAGCUAACGCAUUAAGUACCCCGCCUGGGGAGUACGGCCGCAAGGCUAAAACUCAAAGAAAUUGACGGGGCCCGCACAAGCGGCGGAGCAUGUGGAUUAAUUCGAUGCAACGCGAAGAACCUUACCUGGGUUUGACAUGCACAGGACGUGCCUAGAGAUAGGUAUUCCCUUGUGGCCUGUGUGCAGGUGGUGCAUGGCUGUCGU
RNAcentral lists this ribosomal RNA (262 nucleotides) under uncultured bacterium. RNAcentral's name for it is "partial 16S ribosomal RNA". It matches the Rfam family "Bacterial small subunit ribosomal RNA", at positions 793 to 1055 of the family's 1533-position model. The record is from RNAcentral.